Molecule: ribosomal RNA, 400 nt
Filed under: uncultured bacterium
Lineage: Bacteria
Description: bacterial SSU rRNA
Rfam family: Bacterial small subunit ribosomal RNA
Source: RNAcentral
UAGGGAAUAUUGGGCAAUGGACGCAAGUCUGACCCAGCCACGCCGCGUGAAGGAUGACUGCCCUAUGGGUUGUAAACUUCUUUUAUAUGGGAAGAAACCCCCGAACGUGUUCGGGGCUGACGGUACCAUAAGAAUAAGCAUCGGCUAACUCCGUGCCAGCAGCCGCGGUAAUACGGAGGAUGCAAGCGUUGUCCGGAUUCAUUGGGUUUAAAGGGUGCGUAGGCGGAAAAUUAAGUCAGUGGUGAAAACUUGCAGCUUAACUGUAAAAAUGCCAUUGAAACUGAUUUUCUUGAGUUCGAUUGAGGUAGAUGGAAUGUAUCAUGUAGCGGUGAAAUGCUUAGAUAUGAUACAGAACACCAAUUGCGAAGGCAGUCUACUAAGUCGAUACUGACGCUGAGGC